Long non-coding RNA from Astatotilapia calliptera (eastern happy), 1077 nucleotides. NCBI's taxonomy places the organism in Eukaryota, Metazoa, Chordata, Actinopteri, Cichliformes, Cichlidae. The record is from Ensembl.
UUUGUGGCAGAAUAUAGAGCAUAACUCCACAAAAUUUGUCGUUUCUCUUCAUAUAUUUGUUUUUCCUCCACGGAUAGAUGAUUCAAGUAGUCUCGGCUCCACAGGUGAGAAGAACAGUACUACCAAAUGUCCACUACUGGCCAUCAUGAUGGAGUGAUGAUUUGCCUGCCAAGGUAGUGAGUCGCUAUGUGACUGAAAAUUGUGCAUUGCAUGUAGUUAUUUAAUUUGUAUCUCAACCCUUUAAAUUGUCCUAAAGCAUUAAGUUAUUAGUUUUUAAGGCUUUGGCUGCUUAAAGGAUUCAGUAGAGUAGUUUUUAAGUAUGUCUGUAGCUCUUUAAAAUUAGCAUCCCUGUUAAUAUCUGAAUGAAUUACCAAUGCAGCUUGUAAACCAUUCAUUAGCUUAUUAGCGCAUUACCCAAACAGGAUGUAAUCCAGCUGACUCAGGGAAGGUGAAAAGGACUAUUUAAGUAUUUCUAAUUUUUUUUUUUUUUUUUGAGAUGACCUCUGUUAUAUCGAUACUAGACGUGUUUUCCUGUUUGUCUAAAAAGUUAUCAUUCCUUUUGUAUACUAUUAAAAACUAUUUUCUGAAGACUAUUAGUAUCUAUUGAAUUUAUUCAAACAGUCUAAACAGGGAAAUGUCUAAAAUUGGCUGCAGGUCUACAAACGUAUCUGAUUUAAUCUGAAAGGCUUCAGACAUGGAAAUGCUCUUUUAUUUGUUAAAGCUGUGGUUCAGAUCUUCAAUCAUAUCAGAUUUAAUCAUCCACUGUCCAGAGGUGCAAAAAUAUACAUGAGAAUGGUGUGCAUUGACUUCACUUACAGUAAGAAGCAGCGUUUGGUUUAUCUUGCAUGACACACUAACAGCUCUUUCAAGAUAAGAGACAGCAAAGCUCUCUAAGCUUUCUCAACUAUAUGAAGGAUAUACAAUUACUUUUCUUGUUGUCUGAGAUCAGGUAAUGUGACAGAGUUUCUGGUGCUUGGCUGAAAUGUCAUGUUGAUUCAAAGCUUAUCUCACAGUGUGCAAAAUACUUUCAUUUCUCUUGAUGUAAAGGGGACUGGCAUCCUGAAUUGAGGUUUAAAG